This 253-nucleotide ribosomal RNA is filed under the name uncultured bacterium. RNAcentral describes it as "partial 16S ribosomal RNA". It matches the Rfam family "Bacterial small subunit ribosomal RNA", at positions 524 to 776 of the family's 1533-position model. The record is from RNAcentral.
UACGUAGGUGGCGAGCGUUGUCCGGAUUUACUGGGCGUAAAGAGCGCGCAGGCGGUCGUUCAAGUCGCGUGUGAAAGCCCCCGGCUCAACUGGGGAGGGUCACGCGAUACUGAUCGACUCGAAGGCAGGAGAGGGAAGUGGAAUUCCCGGUGUAGUGGUGAAAUGCGUAGAUAUCGGGAGGAACACCAGUGGCGAAGGCGACUUCCUGGCCUGUUCUUGACGCUGAGGCGCGAAAGCUAGGGGAGCAAACUGG